GCGGAGGAGGCAGCGGAGGAGGAGGCGGAGGAGGCGGAGGCGGAGGAGGCGGAGGAGGACUGACAAUAGCAACAAUAACUGGCUGAAAGCCAGCUUUGUAAUAUCCUCAAACUUCUGAAGGAAAAUAAUGAAGGCUAGAAUCCUCUACCAAACUAAAACCAAUGAACACCCUUUAAGUCUAAUGCAAGAAAUUCAGACAAACGGAGCACAAGUUAUGACAAGAUGGUUCUGUUGAAUGGAUAAAAAUGUGGGCAGCCAGCCCGGCACGGUGGCUCACGCCUGUAAUCCCAGCACUUUGGGAGGCCGAGGCAGGCAGAUCACUGGAGGUCAGGAGUUCAAGACCAGCCUGACCAACAUGGUGAAACCCCAUCUCUACCAAAAAUACAAAAAUUAGCCAGGUGUGGUGGCAGGCACCUGUAAUCCCAGCUACUUGGGCAGCUGAGGGAGGAGAAUCGCUUGAACCUGGAAGGGGGAGGUUGCAGUGAGCCAAGAUCACACCACUGCACUCCAGCCUGGACUAUGGAGUGAGAUUCUGUCUCAAAAAUAAAAUAAAAUAAAAUGUGGGCAGGCUAAUACAUCUGUGAGUCCAGGAGCAGCUUUUCUCCUAGCACUCGAACCAUGAAAGCAAAAUGGCUCCCUCUAUUUUAGCAGCUGCCAUUACUAACAAUAAAGUGCUGAAUAGAAGUCUGUAUAAAAAGAAUAUUUAUAGCACAUGUCCUCAAACAUGUAUCGGGAAAUACCAAUUUAUAAUAAAAAGUAAAUAAGGGUACUAUGGUGAAAUGUAUUAUUUAACCCCGGAGCAGCGCACGUCUUCUGCAAGUUAGAUUUUGGAGGUGGGGCACGGUGGCUCAUACCUGCAAUUCCAGCAUUUUAGGAGGUUAUUGCCUUUGGAGCUAACACCCCGGUUACUAAGGACUCGGCAGACCCUUCCCUCCUACUGUUCCCUGGGUCAAGAUCAUUUUCCCCAGGGUUUUAGGAUCAUUUUCUAAGAGGCCCAGGAGACUGGAUUGAAAAUGUAAAAAAAAAAAUAUUUAAGCACAUGUCUUCAAACAUGUAUCAGGAAAUAUUAAUUUAUAACAAAAUUAAACAAGGUUACUAUGAUGAAAUUUACUGUUUAAUCCCUGAGCAGCACGUGGUCUUUUACAAGUUAAACUUUGGAGGCCAGGCGUGGUGGCCCAUACCUGUAAUUCCAGCACUUUGGGAGGCUGAGGCAGGCAGGUCACUUGAGGCUAGGAGUUUGGGACGAGGCUAGGCAACAUGGCAAAACGCCUUCUCUACAUAAAAAAAUUCAAAAGUUAGCUGGAUGUGGUGGUGUGCACCUGUAGUCCCAACUAAUCCAGAGGCUGAGGUGGGAGGAUCACUUGAGUCUGGGAGGCACAGACCACAGUGAGCUGAGAUCCCACCACUGCACUCCAGCCUGGGAGGUAGAGCCAGACCCUGUCUCAAAACAAAAACAAAAAAGUUAGACUUUGGGGUAAUAAAGACAGUGCAUGCCAAUCAUAACUGCCUAGAGGAAUAGAACACUGCUGUCAAGAGUGGACGGAAAGGGAGAGAAGCCCUGCCUUGCUCCAGGUCAGCAUCCUGGACAGUUCUGCAGCAGCUCUGCGGAUGGGAGAUGCAGCGGUGACUUGCCAGGGCCGCCAUGUGUUGCUGUCCGGUGGAAGACAAGCCUGGACUUUGAAAUUGUUUUCCCAACAGAAAAGGUCACUGGAAAUAAGUGGUGUGUUGUCUCUACUCUGUGAAACAUACACUCUGAUGGGGAAGCGAAGCGCAGAGAUGCUCAUCUAGUGUAUGUGAAUUCAAUUCUGUUUGCUGCAGAGAGGGAGUCAGGGAGACAGGGCGAGCCAGGGAGAGGGGGGGAGCCGGGGAGAGGUGGGGA
This 1879-nucleotide long non-coding RNA is filed under the name Homo sapiens (human). Its description in RNAcentral is "HSALNT0278985". Lineage: Eukaryota; Metazoa; Chordata; Mammalia; Primates; Hominidae. The record is from RNAcentral.